Molecule: ribosomal RNA, 433 nt
Filed under: uncultured bacterium
Lineage: Bacteria
Description: partial 16S ribosomal RNA
Rfam family: Bacterial small subunit ribosomal RNA
Source: RNAcentral
AACGAACGCUGGCGGCAUGCCUAACACAUGCAAGUCGAACGAGACCUUCGGGUCUAGUGGCGCACGGGUGCGUAACGCGUGGGAACCUGCCUUUAGGUUCGGAAUAACUCAGAGAAAUUUGAGCUAAUACCGGAUGAUGUCUUCGGACCAAAGAUUCAUCGCCUUUCGAUGGGCCGGCGUUGGAUUAGCUAGUUGGUGGGGUAAAGGCCUACCAAGGCGACGUUCCAUAGCUGGUCUGCGAGGAUGAUCAGCCACACUGGGACUGAGACACGGCCCAGACUCCUACGGGGGGCAGCAGUGGGGAAUAUUGGACAAUGGGCGAAAGCCUGAGCCAGCAAUGCCGCGUGAGUGAUGAAGGCCUUAGGGUUGUAAAGCUCUUUUACCCGAGAUGAUAAUGACAGUAUCGGGAGAAUAAGCUCCGGCUAACUCCGUG